AGUUAUAUGUCUUGCCGAAAGAGGCGUAACAAUCGCGACAACGAGGUCGCUACAAUACCGAAAUGUAACAUAUAGUAUACAAAUGGCGGUUCUGAAUGUUAUCAUGGGUUGUUCGAAUGUUUAAUAGUACAUAUGAUUUCAACAAGUUUUUCACGAUUAUAAAAUUAUAAAUAAUGGCCGAAAAGGAAAGUGAUAGUACGACAAGUGAAGUUGUGAAAACCGAAGAUUUAACUGAUAACACAGGAAAUGAAGAAGCACCAACAAGUUUGGAAACUAUAGCACAGGAUACUAAUACUACUCGAAAUGGUGGUCCUCCAGUUACUUCAAAGGACAAAGAGAAAAUUGAUAUCUUAUUAAAAGCAACUGGCAACGCACCUAUCAUGAAGCAGAAAAAAUGGUCCGUUAAUCAGGAUAAUCAAAUUGGAAAGAUUUCAGAUUUUAUAAGGAAGUAUCUCAAAUUAGAAUCCUCUGAAAGAUUAUUUCUUUAUGUAAAUCAAACUUUUGCACCAGCACCAGAUCAAACAGUAAAAAACUUAUACGAUUGUUACGGUGCUGAUGGGAAAUUGAUCAUUCAUUAUUGCAAAAGUCCAGCAUGGGGUUAACUGUGAUCAUUCUUUGAUGCUUAAGCAUCGUAUGGUAUCAUUUUAUUAACGCGGACAUGAGUGGAGAGACUAGCGCCGCACAGCGGCAGCAGUUGGCAACAGCGACAGGUUAUCUAUCCUGCGCCACUGGCGUUGUCACUUUUCCGCAUUCACUCAUCACCGAUAAUGGUGUAUAAGGAAAACAUUAAAUUUCAAUACAAAUGAAAAUACUAAUUUUCAUACAAAUAUUUAUAAUAAUGUAUAUAAUUCAAUGUUUACAUUUGUUACAUUUGUUCUUUUUCAAACAUGCGAAACUUAUGAUCGAUUAAAAAAAUAGUAAUUUGUUCGAUCGUAUCAACAUAAAAAAUCUUUACUUUAAAGUAAUAAUAAUAAUGAUAAUAAUAAUAAUAAUAAUAAUAAUAAUAAUAAUAAUAAUAAUAAUAGGAAACGGAAGAAUCCGAAAGAAUUUUUUUAACUUACAAUUGAAUUUUGAAAAUGAAAAAUAUGUUAUUGCUUAUAUACUAUAUAUGUAUGUACGAUAAUAAUUUUAAAAGAUUUGUUGAAUUCUGUAAUAUAGAGUAACUCUUUAUAAUCUUAUGCUUUAUCCAGCGACAAUCAUACAAUUGCGUAGAUUUAUCUCGACGAUCUAUGCAAUAUGUCUGCCUUUAAAAGUAAAAUUAUUCUUCAUGUAGAUUUUAAUAAAACUGUGAUUGCCCUUAUGGACAUGACCAAAGGGACAAUAUAUUAUGUAACUGUGUUUCAAAGGGUUUCAUAAAAGGCUUGUUUAAAAAAUAAUAAUUUUUACAUCUCA
Vespa crabro (European hornet) is the source of this 1392-nucleotide RNA transcript. It is a transcript of the gene named autophagy protein 12-like, with no coding region annotated. The record is from RefSeq and is a predicted model, not a curated record. The transcript is spliced from 5 exons. NCBI's taxonomy places the organism in Eukaryota, Metazoa, Arthropoda, Insecta, Hymenoptera, Vespidae.